GAUAAACGCUGGCGGCGCACAUAAGACAUGCAAGUCGAACGGACUUAAUCGAAAUAUUUAUAUUUUGAAGCGGUUAGUGGCGGACUGGUGAGUAACGCGUAAGGAACCUACCUAUUAGAGGGGAAUAACAGUGAGAAAUCAUUGCUAAUACCGCAUAUGCCAUAGAUAUCACAUGAUAACAGUGGGAAAGGAGCAAUCCGCUAAUAGAUGGCCUUGCGUCUGAUUAGAUAGUUGGUGGGGUAACAGCCUACCAAGUCGACGAUCAGUAGCCGGACUGAGAGGUUGAACGGCCACAUUGGGACUGAGAUACGGCCCAG
Molecule: ribosomal RNA, 317 nt
Filed under: uncultured bacterium
Lineage: Bacteria
Description: bacterial SSU rRNA
Rfam family: Bacterial small subunit ribosomal RNA
Source: RNAcentral